RNAcentral lists this ribosomal RNA (253 nucleotides) under uncultured bacterium. RNAcentral's name for it is "partial 16S ribosomal RNA". It matches the Rfam family "Bacterial small subunit ribosomal RNA", at positions 524 to 776 of the family's 1533-position model. The record is from RNAcentral.
UACGUAGGGCGCAAGCGUUGUCCGGAAUUAUUGGGCGUAAAGAGCUCGUAGGCGGCUUGUCACGUCGGGUGUGAAAGCCCGGGGCUUAACUCCGGAUCUGCGGUGGGUACGGGCAGACUAGAGUGAUGUAGGGGAGACUGGAAUUCCUGGUGUAGCGGUGAAAUGCGCAGAUAUCAGGAGGAACACCGAUGGCGAAGGCAGGUCUCUGGGCAUUAACUGACGCUGAGGAGCGAAAGCAUGGGGAGCGAACAGG